UACGUAGGGGGCAAGCGUUGUCCGGAAUCAUUGGGCGUAAAGAGCGCGUAGGCGGUCCGGUAAGUCGGUUGUGAAAGUCGGGGGCUCAACCCUCGGAUGCCGAUCGAUACUGUCGGGCUAGAGUCCGGAAGAGGCGAGUGGAAUUCCUGGUGUAGCAGUGAAAUGCGUAGAUAUCAAGCGGAACACCAGUGGCGAAGGCGAGUCCCUGGACAACUCCUGACACUGAGGCACGAAAGCUAGGGGAGCAAACAGG
RNAcentral lists this ribosomal RNA (253 nucleotides) under uncultured prokaryote. RNAcentral's name for it is "partial 16S ribosomal RNA". It matches the Rfam family "Bacterial small subunit ribosomal RNA", at positions 524 to 776 of the family's 1533-position model. The record is from RNAcentral.